GAGAGCACAGUACGAUGAAAGUUGUAAGUUGUGUUCGGGGGGAGCUAUUGUCUGCCUUUAUGGUAGAAUCAGUCGGGCCCUGAGAGACGGUAGUUUACCCUGU
Non-coding RNA from Lupinus albus (white lupine), 103 nucleotides. Lineage: Eukaryota; Viridiplantae; Streptophyta; Magnoliopsida; Fabales; Fabaceae. The record is from the annotation of a GenBank genome assembly.